Molecule: ribosomal RNA, 254 nt
Filed under: uncultured bacterium
Lineage: Bacteria
Description: partial 16S ribosomal RNA
Rfam family: Bacterial small subunit ribosomal RNA
Source: RNAcentral
UACGUAGGGGGCAAGCGUUGUCCGGAAUCACUGGGCGUAAAGCGCGCGCAGGCGGUCAUCUACGUCUGGGGUGAAAGCCCGGAGCUCAACUCCGGGAUUGCCUUGGAUACGGGAUGACUUGAGGAUCGGAGAGGCAAGGGGAAUUCCGACGUGUAGCGGUGAAAUGCGUAGAGAUGUGGAGGAACACCUGUGGCGAAGGCGCCUUGCUGGCCGAUUUCUGACGCUGAGGCGCGAAAGCGUGGGGAGCAAACAGG